Molecule: transfer RNA, 504 nt
Filed under: Alcanivorax hongdengensis
Lineage: Bacteria; Pseudomonadati; Pseudomonadota; Gammaproteobacteria; Oceanospirillales; Alcanivoracaceae
Description: partial contains 16S-23S ribosomal RNA intergenic spacer and 23S ribosomal RNA
Rfam family: tRNA (bases 69-142)
Source: RNAcentral
UUGGACACCGUCCGUUCAGGACCCACACGUUUGCUUGUCUGGUAUUAAAGGGUGUAGACGCUUUCUAUAGGUCUGUAGCUCAGUUGGUUAGAGCGCACCCCUGAUAAGGGUGAGGUCGGCAGUUCAAAUCUGCCCAGACCUACCAAUUUCAGCACGGUUUUGGGGCCUUAGCUCAGCUGGGAGAGCGCCUGCCUUGCACGCAGGAGGUCAGCGGUUCGAUCCCGCUAGGCUCCACCAAGUUGCUGCGGUGGUAGAGGCGCCAAGAAGUCAGAACCAAGCAUUGUUUUGCUUGCUUCUGACUUUUUAGUCGGAUGUCGGAAUCUGCAUGAUUCGACAAGCUCUUUAACAAUUUGGAAAUGAGAAGUCCAAGUAUUCAUUGAGAAUGCAAGCGUUUAGAUAUUUCUCUGACACUUGUGUCUUAUUGGUGAAUCGUUAUCACGAUGAAAGACCUGGACGGUGGUGAGUUUUCUUUUUGAGGUGAGAGCCUUUGAAGGGAAAUGCAGC